GAGAGAAGCUCGUUUUGCUGAGGCAUGCAUACCCUCCACACAUGAUUUAUAAUGUGGAUGAGUCAGGUGUCUUUACAGCACAAAAGCCACAGCAGCAGAUGUGGUGAAGAAGAUGCCUGAACCUAAGAGGCGUGGUGGAACCACCCGUAGAGAGCAAUUGUUCAUCUUCGCCUGCAAGAGUAGAGAAUGACUGAUGCUCUAAUUUAGGAUCUAGUCCUGUUGAGUCCCAGGCUGUUCUGGCUCUAAGGGUCCUGUGUUCUGACCCACAGACUGUGUUCUG
This is a long non-coding RNA of Sardina pilchardus (European sardine), 280 nucleotides long. RefSeq lists it as uncharacterized. NCBI's taxonomy places the organism in Eukaryota, Metazoa, Chordata, Actinopteri, Clupeiformes, Clupeidae. The transcript has 3 exons. The record is from RefSeq and is a predicted model, not a curated record.